AUUGAACGCUGGCGGCAUGCCUUACACAUGCAAGUCGAACGGCAGCAUGGAGAGCUUGCUCUCUGAUGGCGAGUGGCGAACGGGUGAGUGAUGCAUCGGAACGUACCGUGUAAUGGGGGAUAACGUAGCGAAAGUUACGCUAAUACCGCAUACGACCUGAGGGUGAAAGCAGGGGAUCGCAAGACCUUGCGUUAUACGAGCGGCCGAUGUCAGAUUAGCUAGUUGGUGAGGUAAAGGCUCACCAAGGCGACGACCUGUAGCGGGUCUGAGAGGAUGAUCCGCCACCCUGGGACUGAGACACGGCCCAGACUCCUACGGGAGGCAGCAGUGGGGAAUUUUGGACAAUGGGGGCAACCCUGAUCCAGCCAUGCCGCGUGAGUGAAGAAGGCCUUCGGGUUGUAAAGCUCUUUCGGCCGGGAAGAAAUCGCACAGGCUAAUACUCUGUGUGGAUGACGGUACCGGCAUAAGAAGCACCGGCUAACUACGUGCCAGCAGCCGCCGUAA
This 504-nucleotide ribosomal RNA is filed under the name uncultured bacterium. RNAcentral describes it as "partial 16S ribosomal RNA". It matches the Rfam family "Bacterial small subunit ribosomal RNA", at positions 30 to 523 of the family's 1533-position model. The record is from RNAcentral.